GGUUUCGAUCAUGGCUCAGAUUGAACGCUGGCGGGAUGCUUGGCUUACGCAAGUCGAACGGCAGCACGGACUUCGGUCUGGUGGCGAGUAUGAACGGGUGAGUAAUGUAUCGGAAAUCGCGCUUAGUAGCGUGGGGAUAACUACGCGAAAGCGUAGCUAAUACCGUAUACGCCUUCGGGGGAAAGCGGGGGACCUUCGGGCCUCGCACUAUUAGGAGCGGGCCGAUAUCGGAUUAGCCAGUUAGGUAACGGCUCACCAAGGCGACGAUCCGUAGCUGGUUUGAGAGGACGAAUUCAGCCACACUGGGACUGAGACACGGCCCAGACUCCUACGGGAGGCAGCAGUGGGAAUUUUGACCGGGGAAACUCGAUCCAGCCAUCCCGCGUGUGCGAUGAAGGCCUUCGGCCAAAGCACUUUUUGGCAGGAAAGAAACGGCACGGGAUAAUACCCCGUGCAACUGACGGUACCCGCAGAAUAAGCACCGGCUAACCAUACGCCAGCAGCCGCGGUAAUAAUACUUAGGCAAGCGUUAAUCGGAACUAUUGGCGUAAGCGUGCGCAGGCGGUUCGGAAAGAAAGAUGUGAAAUCCCAGAGCUUAACUUUGGAACCGCAUUUUUAACUACCGAGCUAGAGUGUGUCAGAGGGAGGUGGACCGCGUGUAGCAGUAAAUGUGGGACAGUGUGAGGAACACCGAUGGCGAAGGCAGCCUCCGGAUAACACUGACGCUCAUGCACGAAAGCGUGGGGAGCAAACACAGGAUUAGAUACCCUGGUAGUCCACGCCCUAAACGAUGUCAACUAGCUGUUAGCCUUCGGGCCUGUAGCGCAGCUACGUGAAGUUGACCGCCUGGGGAGUACGGUCGCAAGAUUAAAACUCAAAGGAAUUGACGGGACCCGCACAAGCGGUGGAUGAUGUGGAUUAAUCGAUGCAACGCGAAAAACCUUACCUACCUUGAUAUGUUCAAUCCUGAAGAGAUUUGGAGUGCUCGCAAGAGAACCGGAACAGGUGCUGCAUGGCUGUCGUCAGCUCGUGUCGUGAGAUGUUGGGUUAAGUCCUGGCAACGACGCAACCCUUGGUCAUUAGUUGCUACGAAAGGGCACUCUGAAUGAGACUGCCGGUGACAAACCGGAGGAAGGUGGGGAUGACGUCAAGUCCUCAUGGCCCUUAUGGGUAGGGCUUCACAUGCCAUACAAUGGUCGGGACAGAGGGUCGCCAACCCGCGAGGGGGAGCCAAUCCCAGAAACCCGAUCGUAGUCCGGAUCGCAGUCUGCAACUCGACCGCGUGAAGUCGGAAUCGCUAGUAAUCGCGGAUCAGCAUCGCGGUGAAUACGUUCCCGGGUCUUGUACACACCGCCCGUCACACCAUGGGAGUGGGUUUCAUCAGAAGUAGUUAGCCUAACCGUAAGGAGGGCGAUUACCACGGUAGGAUUCAUGACUGGGGUGAAGUCGUAAUACAGUA
This 1459-nucleotide ribosomal RNA is filed under the name uncultured Bordetella sp. Its description in RNAcentral is "partial 16S-23S ribosomal RNA intergenic spacer". It matches the Rfam family "Bacterial small subunit ribosomal RNA". Lineage: Bacteria; Pseudomonadati; Pseudomonadota; Betaproteobacteria; Burkholderiales; Alcaligenaceae. The record is from RNAcentral.